GACGAACGCUGGCGGCGUGCUUAACACAUGCAAGUCGAACGGUAAGGCCCUUCGGGGUACACGAGUGGCGAACGGGUGAGUAACACGUGGGUGAUCUGCCCUGCACUUCGGGAUAAGCCGGGGAAACUGGGUCUAAUACCGGAUAGGACCACGUCCUGCAUGGGUGGUGGUGGAACGCUUUGGCGGUGUGGGAUGGGCCCGCGGCCUAUCAGCUUGUUGGUGGGUGAUGGUCUACCAAGGCGACGACGGGUAGCCGGCCUGAGAGGGUGACCGGCCACACUGGGACUGAGAUACGGCCCAGACUCCUACGGGAGGCAGCAGUGGGGAAUAUUGCACAAUGGGCGCAAGCCUGAUGCAGCGACGCCGCGUGAGGGAUGACGGCCUUCGGGUUGUAAACCUCUUUCAGCACCGACGAAGCGCAAGUGACGGUAGGUGCAGAAGAAGGACCGGCCAACUACGUGCCAGCCGCCGCGGUAA
RNAcentral lists this ribosomal RNA (477 nucleotides) under uncultured bacterium. RNAcentral's name for it is "partial 16S ribosomal RNA". It matches the Rfam family "Bacterial small subunit ribosomal RNA", at positions 28 to 523 of the family's 1533-position model. The record is from RNAcentral.